UCCGAUCGGUACAAGAUGGAUAGCGAAAACAGUCGGUAUAGGCGUAGAGGAUCUAGACUCAAUCAGAAAUUAUACGACUACAGAGCUGUUUUAACUGUUUAUAACAUCCUGAACGCUUUGGACCAUCAUUUCAACAUGCAAAAUGGUCAUACGGCUGUUGCUCCUGUUGAGAAAACGCCACAGCCUGGUGUAGCCAAGUGGACACCCUCUGAAGAACGAGCAGAUGGAAACAUCAUUGGCGCCAAAGCUAAAAAGAUAUACAUCAAUGACAAUCUCAGUACUUUGGACAGAAUCGUUUUGUGUUUCGCCGAAUUUUUAGGAACUGGUAUGCUGGUUUUCAUUGGAUGCAUGGGAUGUGCGAAUAUGGGCAGUUUGCCAGAUCCUAUGAAGGUUGCAUUUGCUUUUGGAUUAGCUAUAACGAUAGCAGUACAGUGUUUUGGACAUAUAUCUGGAAGUCACAUUAAUCCAGCUGUCACAGUUGCGGCCGUCAUUUUGGGUCACACACCAGUUAUGCACAUUCCACUUUAUUUCAUAGGACAAAUGUUGGGAGGAAUUGGAGGCUUCGGUUUAUUGAAGGCGUUGAGUCCACUUGAAGCAACCGAACCAAUUGUAAACGGAACCACCACCCCUAUUUGCUCCCCAGGACCACUAAGUGCAGAUAUUCAUCCAUGGCAAGGGGUUUGCGUAGAAUUCGCCCUAACAUUCAUCCUGGUUAUGCUGUGUGCUGCAGUUUGGGACUGUCGUAACACCGAAAGAGUUGACUCUUUGUCUAUCAGGCUUGGUUUAGCUGUAGCUGUAUUGGCAAUGGUUGGAGGCUCAUACACAGGGGCAAAUAUGAAUCCAGCAAGAAGCUUUGGUCCAGCUUUAAUUAAUGGUGACUGGAAAGAUUGGUGGGUACCUAUGCAAUGUGUGUAUCUGCCAUGAAACUUCGCUGGAUACGAUGAAGUUGCUAUACAACCCAUCGGCCGCUUGAAUGAUAAAGCAUCGUUCUGUGGCAGAAGCUCUGACUUUAGGCUAAGGGCUGACCCUGUAGAUGGCUUGUAGUGUGAUUGUCCGCGCAAAGUGACGGCCCCUGUAUUCCAUGAUACCAAGAAUCUCCAAGGCAAUAGACAAGUUUGCUAAAAAAGUUCUUCUCAAUCGUAACAAAAAAAUAAUUUCAAUUUAGGUAAUGUAGGGGAAAAUUUCCCCGUAACAAUACAUCGGCUGAUCGGCAAAAAAAGUUUACAAAUUAACACCAGAAGAGGAAAUGUUUGGUGGGUAGGACCAAUGCUUGGAGGAUUGGUUGCAGGUCUCUUGUACAGGGUUGUAUUCAGCAAGGAAUACGAUAUGUUGGAGCAUUCGAUUGCUGAAGUGGUACCUAUGAAUGAAAGAGCAUGAAAAUAUAAAAAAAUCUUCAGAGUAUUAUUUAUAACUUAUACAUAGUAUAUAUAUAUUGGACUAUUUUAUACGAAGAGAUGAAUACAAGACUUACUUCAGUA
This is an RNA transcript of Coccinella septempunctata (seven-spotted ladybird), 1478 nucleotides long. It is a transcript of the gene named aquaporin AQPAn.G-like, with no coding region annotated. Lineage: Eukaryota; Metazoa; Arthropoda; Insecta; Coleoptera; Coccinellidae. The transcript is spliced from 8 exons. The record is from RefSeq and is a predicted model, not a curated record.